UACGAAGGGGGCGAGCGUUGUUCGGAAUUACUGGGCGUAAAGGGCGCGCAGGCGGCGGACCAAGUCAGGCGUGAAAGCCCCGGGCUCAACCUGGGAGGUGCGUCUGGGACUGGUUUGCUGGAGUUCGGGAGAGGAGCGUGGAAUUCCCAGUGUAGAGGUGAAAUUCGUAGAUAUUGGGAAGAACACCGGUGGCGAAGGCGGCGCUCUGGACCGAGACUGACGCUGAGGCGCGAAAGCGUGGGGAGCAAACGGG
RNAcentral lists this ribosomal RNA (253 nucleotides) under uncultured bacterium. RNAcentral's name for it is "partial 16S ribosomal RNA". It matches the Rfam family "Bacterial small subunit ribosomal RNA", at positions 524 to 776 of the family's 1533-position model. The record is from RNAcentral.